UUAGAUUUGCUGCCUCUUCAUUUGCUGUGUGAGGGCCAUUUUCCUUUAAUUAAUGGGCCUCAUGAUAAUCUCAGCUGUAAAAUCCUGCUUUCUAGCAUCUGGGUUGUCUUGGGACUGAUCUGUGUUGCUUGUGCUGCUUCGUUGAGGAUGGAAAAUGAAGAUGCAGGGGACCUUUCUUAAAGUCAUCUCAAAUGUACAAGCUCAGAUGUGGAAAAACUCCUUUGGUGAAGAAUUAUUUACUGAGAAAGCGUGGAAAUAAGGGAAAAGGAGGAAGACUGGACCUCACAGUUGGUUGAGCUAUGCCUUCUGUGUGGACUGAGUUACAGGGAAGUUACUGAAGCUCCCUGGGCCUUUUUUUUUUUAAUGUAAAAACUGAGGACAUACACUAGACUUCUGAGCCCCACCAAGCUCUUAACUGCAACUAUUCCAUCCCUAGAAAGAGCCAUAAGCAAGGUGGUUUGCCAUUAUUAAGGCAUUCCCAGGUGCAGAAAUCAAAGGCAAUUCUGUAGUAAAAUAUACUCAAUGGAAACUCUAAACCAGUGGGAGUCCUUCACACUUUAGUAUAAAAGCAAACACAUACUAUGAAUAUCUGACAUAAAACUGAGGCCAGAAUCAACAAUUCGGGGUGCUUUCUCCCUCCUUCCACUUUUCUUAUUUUUUCCCUGAAUGUUAGCUUAUUUCACCUUCAUAACAGCCACUAAGGUAGAUACAUGAGUUUUUAUUUCUUCUUUGUUUUUUUUAACUGAGGAAAUGGAGUUUCAUGAUUAUAUGCAAAUCAUUUGUGGCCCCAGGGGUGGUAAACUCAAGAAAAUGUAUUCAAAAAUGUAUUCAAACUGAAAACAUAUAAAUAAUAAAUAGUACUGAAUUUGUUUA
Molecule: long non-coding RNA, 873 nt
Organism: Odocoileus virginianus texanus
Lineage: Eukaryota; Metazoa; Chordata; Mammalia; Artiodactyla; Cervidae
Source: RefSeq, a predicted model, not a curated record